RNAcentral lists this unclassified non-coding RNA (348 nucleotides) under Hevea brasiliensis (rubber tree). Lineage: Eukaryota; Viridiplantae; Streptophyta; Magnoliopsida; Malpighiales; Euphorbiaceae. The record is from RNAcentral.
UGUAGAUUGAAGUAUUCCGGUUAUACUUUCACUAAAAACAGUAAGAACAAGGUAGAAAUUAGAGGCAUCAACAAGUUUUUAAGAGGCAACAUAGAGUUAUUAUGGCUUGUAGUACUUGGUGGGUACAAAAGGCAUCUUGGUAACCACCCCAUCAUAAGACUUUCCUCGAAUCACAAUCUUGACAUUAGUCCCUGUCUUGUGGUUACCCGUUUUUACGUAUCCCAUUGCUAUGUUCUUCUUCAGACAAGGGCUGAAACCACCACUGGUGAUUUCUCCAAUAUUUUGUCCAUUUGAAUCUUGAAUUUCACUGUGACUUCUAGGGGGUGGGCCUGAAGAGAAAAAGCCAAC